ACACAUGAACGACAAAUAUCAACAUAGGCUGUUUUGUUCACUGACGCUUAACGAAGACAACUGGCAUGGGGAAGCAAAUGAUACUAAGAUUUACUGAAUCACUCGACAAGCAAUGGAUCCAAGGUUUUAACCCAUUAAUCUUGCUCGGAACAUUCGUGAGCGUCACAAGCUACCCUUCAAAACUCCUCUAAAGAGCCUACACAAGGAAAAAGUAACCCAUGCUUAUCCUUGUUGAACUGAUCAGGGAAAUUAUUGUAGUUCAUCCAGAUGCAGAAUUCUUGGAUGACAAAGAUAAGAGGUUGUUAAUGAAAUCAGCAAAACAUGUCUCUACACUUAUUUUCUUUCUCUUGAAAACUAAGAGAGGUCUGUAGUAUAUCUUCUCGAUAUUAUGCAUAUAUAUAAAAAUUAUAUCUACAA
Molecule: long non-coding RNA, 417 nt
Organism: Brassica napus (rape)
Lineage: Eukaryota; Viridiplantae; Streptophyta; Magnoliopsida; Brassicales; Brassicaceae
Exons: 2
Source: RefSeq, a predicted model, not a curated record